Long non-coding RNA from Pygocentrus nattereri (red-bellied piranha), 304 nucleotides. RefSeq lists it as uncharacterized. The record is from RefSeq and is a predicted model, not a curated record. Lineage: Eukaryota; Metazoa; Chordata; Actinopteri; Characiformes; Serrasalmidae. The transcript has 3 exons.
UCGGCAGUGCAGUGUAUCGUGCUUGUCUUUAGGUUGGGUUUUUGGUGAUCUUCAGGAUGGUUUCUCAGAGAGUUAUUGUGGGUUUUCUUCUGAUUGUGCUGGUCUCUAAUGUGUUGGGGUCUCUGGCUGAGCGUGAGCAGGCACGUGCAGAAGGGUUCACCCUAUCAUGGCUCAGCAGAAACUACAGAGGUUUGAACACUUUCACCCUUCACUGGUAACUGGCUGUUUGAAGGCAUGUGUGCCCAAUCCUGGUCCUAGAGACCUCCCACCCUGAUCUAUCACACCUGAUCCAGGUAAGGCAGGC